AAAGUGGAGCAAUCCAUGAGUAGAGUGGCAAACGGGUGAGUAACGCGUGGGUGACCUGCCUUCGAGUGGGGGAUAACGUUCCGAAAGGGACGCUAAUACCGCAUGACAUCCGGCCUUUGAAGAGGCGGAGAUCAAAGCUGGGGAUCGCAAGACCUAGCGCUCGAUGAGGGGCCCGCGUCUGAUUAGCUAGUUGGUGGGGUAACGGCUCACCAAGGCAACGAUCAGUAUCCGGCCUGAGAGGGCGGACGGACACACUGGGACUGAGACACGGCCCAGACUCCUACGGGAGGCAGCAGUGGGGAAUUGUUCGCAAUGGGCGCAAGCCUGACGACGCAACGCCGCGUGGAGGAUGAAGAUCUUCGGGUCGUAAACUCCUUUCGAUCGAGACGAACAGCCUUCGGGUAAACAAUCCGGAGGUUUGACGGUACCGAGAGAAGAAGCCCCGGCUAACUCCGUGCCAGCAGCCGCGGUAAUACGGGGGGGGCAAGCGUUGUUCGGAAUUACUGGGCGUAAAGGGCUCGUAGGCGGCCAACUAAGUCAGACGUGAAAUCCCUCGGCUUAACCGGGGAACUGCGUCUGAUACUGGAUGGCUUGAGUUUGGGAGAGGGAUGCGGAAUUCCAGGUGUAGCGGUGAAAUGCGUAGAUAUCUGGAGGAACACCGGUGGCGAAGGCGGCAUCCUGGACCAACACUGACGCUGAGUGAGCGAAAGCCAGGGGAGCAAACGGGAUUAGAUACCCCGGUAGUCCUGGCCCUAAACGAUGAAUGCUUGGUGUGGCGGGUAUCGAUCCCUGCCGUG
This 797-nucleotide ribosomal RNA is filed under the name uncultured Acidobacteriota bacterium. RNAcentral describes it as "bacterial SSU rRNA". It matches the Rfam family "Bacterial small subunit ribosomal RNA", at positions 71 to 845 of the family's 1533-position model. The record is from RNAcentral. Lineage: Bacteria; Pseudomonadati; Acidobacteriota.